RNAcentral lists this ribosomal RNA (464 nucleotides) under Vreelandella stevensii. RNAcentral describes it as "partial 16S ribosomal RNA". It matches the Rfam family "Bacterial small subunit ribosomal RNA", at positions 339 to 795 of the family's 1533-position model. Lineage: Bacteria; Pseudomonadati; Pseudomonadota; Gammaproteobacteria; Oceanospirillales; Halomonadaceae. The record is from RNAcentral.
CUACGGGUGGCAGCAGUGGGGCAUAUUGGACAAUGGGCGAAAGCCUGAUCCAGCCAUGCCGCGUGUGUGAAGAAGGCCUUCGGGUUGUAAAGCACUUUCAGUGGGGAAGAAAGCCUUGGGGCUAAUACCCUCGAGGAAGGACAUCACCCACAGAAGAAGCACCGGCUAACUCCGUGCCAGCAGCCGCGGUAAUACGGAGGGUGCGAGCGUUAAUCGGAAUUACUGGGCGUAAAGCGCGCGUAGGCGGUCUGAUAAGCCGGUUGUGAAAGCCCCGGGCUCAACCUGGGAACGGCAUCCGGAACUGUCAGGCUAGAGUGCAGGAGAGGAAGGUAGAAUUCCCGGUGUAGCGGUGAAAUGCGUAGAGAUCGGGAGGAAUACCAGUGGCGAAGGCGGCCUUCUGGACUGACACUGACGCUGAGGUGCGAAAGCGUGGGUAGCAAACAGGAUUAGAUACCCGGGUAGUC